RNAcentral lists this unclassified non-coding RNA (334 nucleotides) under soil metagenome. RNAcentral's name for it is "partial contains 5.8S ribosomal RNA, internal transcribed spacer 2, and large subunit ribosomal RNA". The stretch from base 1 to 120 matches the Rfam family "5.8S ribosomal RNA", at positions 35 to 154 of the family's 154-position model. The record is from RNAcentral.
GAUGAAGAACGUAGCGAAAUGCGAUACGUAAUGUGAAUUGCAGAAUUCAGUGAAUCAUCGAAUCUUUGAACGCACAUUGCGCCCGUCAGCACUCUGGCGGGCAUGCCUGUUCGAGCGUCAUUUCAACCAUCAAGCCCCAGGCUUGCGUUGGGGCCCUGCGGCUGCCGCAGCCUCCUAAAAGCAGUAGCGGGCUCGCUAUCACACCGAGUGCAGUAGAUUACUCUUCGCUCAGGGCGUGCAGCGGGUUCCGGCCGUGAAACCCCCUACUUUUAAAGGUUGACCUCGGAUCAGGUAGGAAUACCCGCUGAACUUAAGCAUAUCAAUAAGCGGAGGA